RNAcentral lists this ribosomal RNA (496 nucleotides) under uncultured bacterium. Its description in RNAcentral is "partial 16S ribosomal RNA". It matches the Rfam family "Bacterial small subunit ribosomal RNA", at positions 28 to 507 of the family's 1533-position model. The record is from RNAcentral.
GAUGAACGCUGGCGGCGUGCCUAAUACAUGCAAGUCGAGCGAACGGACGAGAAGCUUGCUUCUCUGAUGUUAGCGGCGGACGGGUGAGUAACACGUGGAUAACCUACCUAUAAGACUGGGAUAACUUCGGGAAACCGUAGCUAAUACCGGAUAAUAUUUUGAACCGCAUGGUUCAAAAGUGAAAGACGGUCUUGCUGUCACUUAUAGAUGGAUCCGCGCUGCAUUAGCUAGUUGGUAAGGUAACGGCUUACCAAGGCAACGAUGCAUAGCCGACCUGAGAGGGUGAUCGGCCACACUGGAACUGAGACACGGUCCAGACUCCUACGGGAGGCAGCAGUAGGGAAUCUUCCGCAAUGGGCGAAAGCCUGACGGAGAACGCCGCGUGAGUGAUGAAGGUCUUCGGAUCGUAAAACUCUGUUAUUAGGGAAGAACAUAUGUGUAAGUAACUGUGCACAUCUUGACGGUACCUAAUCAGAAAGCCACGGCUAACUACGUG